UACGUAGGGGGCAAGCGUUGUCCGGAAUCAUUGGGCGUAAAGCGCGUGUAGGCGGUUUGGUAAGUCUGCUGUGAAAGUCCAGGGCUCAACCCUGGAAUGCCGGUGGAUACUGCCAGACUAGAGUCCGGAAGAGGCGAGUGGAAUUCCUGGUGUAGCGGUGAAAUGCGCAGAUAUCAGGAGGAACACCAAUGGCGAAGGCAGCUCGCUGGGACGGUACUGACGCUGAGACGCGAAAGCGUGGGAGCAAACAGG
This 252-nucleotide unclassified non-coding RNA is filed under the name uncultured Solirubrobacteraceae bacterium. RNAcentral describes it as "contains 16S-23S intergenic spacer region". It matches the Rfam family "Bacterial small subunit ribosomal RNA", at positions 524 to 776 of the family's 1533-position model. Lineage: Bacteria; Bacillati; Actinomycetota; Thermoleophilia; Solirubrobacterales; Solirubrobacteraceae. The record is from RNAcentral.